AUGCAAAGCAGCGGGGAUUCUGCAUUCGUGUGCUGUGUGACGUCGAGCUCAACCGCUUCUCCACAGGAGCAUUCGCCACAUAAACUGCAGGACCAAGCCCGACAUCCACUGGAAAGUACAGCACCAGUACUGCACAGCUGGAAACUACUCGACGACCACGAAAGCCCCAGACAUACUUGUGCACAAAACAGCAUGGCUCCCACAUUUGUGUACUGCGUGACGUCGAGCUCAACAGAGCACAGGAGAAGCUUCUACACAGAAGUAUUCCCCACAUAAACUGCAGGAGACACUAUCACAGGAGGACUACAACUUGUCCUGCAUCAUGACAUUUCCCCCUUACCAGCAUAAAGGUUUCGGAAGACUGCUGAUCGAGUUCAAUUAUGAGCUCUCCAAGUGUGAGGGCAAGACUGGCUCUCCUGAGAAGCCACUUUCUGACCUGGGGCUGCUGUCGUAGCGGUCCUACUGGUCUGAGACCACUCUCGAGAUCCUGAUUAACGGGGUCCCUACUGACAAUCGGGAAAGGCCUAAGAUCAGCAUUAAGCUGCCUUCCCCCAACAUGCUUAAGCCCAUCCAGAUGGAAUUUAUUGAAACUGCAGCAACCACCUGGCACGCUCAUGGGAUUUGUUCUUGCCGUGGAUGUUUCCGGCAGUAUGCGGGACGAAGGCGGACAUCCAGUCCAAACCCGAGCACCAGUUCUGCACAGCUGGAAACUACUGGACAACCACAAAGGCUCCAGACAGACCUGGACCAAGCCUGACAUCCACUGCCAACCGCAGCGUUCUGCACAGCUGGAAACUACAUCGACAGCCACGAGAGCCCCAGAAAGACUGGACCAAGCCCGACAUCCACUGCAAACCUGCACAGCUGGAAACUACUGGACAACCACGAAGGCUCCAGACAGACCUGGUCAGAAUUGGGAACUUGACGUAUCGUAAAGAACCAUGUAGUGAUAAAUA
Molecule: long non-coding RNA, 956 nt
Organism: Dermacentor silvarum
Lineage: Eukaryota; Metazoa; Arthropoda; Arachnida; Ixodida; Ixodidae
Exons: 9
Source: RefSeq, a predicted model, not a curated record